AAUGUUCUUGUUAUCUUUAGUUCUUUACUGAUAUUAAGAAAAAAUCUAACUAUUUAUUUUUUUCUUGACCAAAUUGAAACCGAAUCUGAUAUCAAACUGAUAUGAGUUUGGAUUAUGAAUGAUAUAUGAAAAUACGUCUACAAACAUAACCAUGCACGAAUGUAUGAAUUCUAGUCUUUAUUAUACGAUACUCAUCUAUUUUGUUUCCAUUUAUCUGAUAAUAAUAAUAUCAAUUGUUAAUGGAGAUUGACCAGGAGUUCUACAAAACCCAAUAUCCUUCAAUUAUAUGCAAUCCAUCAUCAUACAAUGUUUCCCUUUGUGAUCUCAUCUCUCCUUUCCAUGUAUCACUUUCAGUAUCACCAGACUAGUCCAGUUGUGCCUCAUACUGGUAGCCAAAGCUAAGUUCCCUUUGGCCAAUUUCUGAUCUCGAAUAUUUUUUUCUUUGUUGAUUACGUUAUCUUCUUCACCUGUGUAAACCAUCACACUAGAGUUGAACGUAUUGUUGUAGCCAUACUUUUCUGAUGCAACGUUGUUUUAUGUGAGCCUAACAUCUCCGAUUUUUAUGUAAUCGAUCAUGCAAGCCCUAUAACAUCUCCGAUUUUUAUCUUCUUCACCUGUGUAAACCAUCACACUAGAGUUGAACGUAUUGUUGUAGCCAUACUUUUCUGAUACAACGUUGUUUUACGUGAGCCUAACAUCUCCGAUUUUUAUGUAAUCGAUCAUGCACAUUGCCUUAAUGUGAAGCCCUACAACAUGAAGUUCAGUUUUGUACUGGAAAACACCCCUACUUGUAUUCUAAGAACUAUUUCAAUUCUUUUUU
RNAcentral lists this small RNA (820 nucleotides) under Arabidopsis thaliana (thale cress). RNAcentral describes it as "ATSL190300". The record is from RNAcentral. Lineage: Eukaryota; Viridiplantae; Streptophyta; Magnoliopsida; Brassicales; Brassicaceae.